This 27-nucleotide small RNA is filed under the name Bombyx mori (domestic silkworm). Its description in RNAcentral is "ovarian small RNA-18344". The record is from RNAcentral. Lineage: Eukaryota; Metazoa; Arthropoda; Insecta; Lepidoptera; Bombycidae.
UAAAGCUGAUGGAAUUUUGUGGACUAC